UAUCCUGAGACGCGAGUCCGUGACCGAAAGGUCUGAAGUUGUUGAGUCUAUGCUGCCUAGAAAAGCUUCUAAGUAUAGGACACGCAAACCGUACCGGAAACCAACUCAGGUGGGUGGGAUGAAUAAUCCAAGGCGCUCGAGAGAACUCUGGCCAAGGAACUCGGCAAAAUAACCCCGUACCUUCGGAAGAAGGGGUGCUUUUUAGGGUGAAGCGAUUCACUCUGUCGAGCCCUGAAAAGCCGCAGAGAAAUGGUGGUGGCGACUGUUUACUAAAAACAUAGGUCUGUGCCAAGUCGUAUAGACGACGUAUACGGACUGACGCCUGCCCGGUGCUGGAAGGUUAAAAGGAGGAGUCAGCGCAAGCGAAGCUCCGAAUUGAAGCCCCAGUAAACGGCGGCCGUAACUAUAACGGUCCUAAGGUAGCGAAAUUCCUUGUCGGGUAAGUUCCGACCUGCACGAAUGGCGUAACGAUCUCCACACUGUCUCGGCCAGAGACUCGGUGAAAUUGAAGUCGCGGUGAAAAUGCCGUGUACCCGCAGAAAGACGGAAAGACCCUGUGCACCUUUACUAUAGCUUGACAUUGGGAUUUGAGCCUGCAUGUGUAGCAUAGGUGGGAGGCUGUGAACUCUGUACGCCAGUAUGGAGGGAGCCAUCGUUGAAAUACCACCCUUGUUUGUUCAGGUCCCUAACUCUUCGCCGUGAUCCGGUAAGAGGACAGUGUCUGGUGGGUAGUUUGACUGGGGCGGUCGCCUCCCAAAAUGUAACGGAGGCAUGCAAAGGUUCCCUCAGGCUGAUUGGAAACCAGCCGUCGAGUGCAAACGCAAAAGGGAGCUUGACUGCAAGAGAGACAUCUCGAGCAGGUACGAAAGUAGGUGUUAGUGAUCCGGUGAUCCCGAAUGGAAGGGUCAUCGCUCAUUGGAUAAAAGGUACGCCGGGGAUAACAGGCUGAUCGCAUCCAAGAGUUCACAUCGACGAUGCGGUUUGGCACCUCGAUGUCGGCUCAUCACAUCCUGGGGCUGAAGCAGGUCCCAAGGGUACGGCUGUUCGCCGUUUAAAGUGGUACGCGAGCUGGGUUUAAAACGUCGUGAGACAGUUUGGUCCCUAUCUUCUGUGGGCGUAGGAGAAUUGAAAGGGCCUGUCCCUAGUACGAGAGGACCGGGAUGGACACACCACUGGUGGACCUGUUGUCGUGCCAACGGCACAGCAGGGUAGCUAUGUGUGGAAGGGAUAACCGCUGAAAGCAUCUAAGCGGGAAGCCUGCCUUAAGAUAAGUUCUCCCUGACGCAAGUCCUGAAGGGCCGAGGUAGACGACCUCGUUGAUAGGCUGGAGGUGGAAGCCCUGUGAGGGGUGGAGCUGACCAGUACUAAUAGCCCGUGCGUCUUGUUUCU
This 1389-nucleotide ribosomal RNA is filed under the name human gut metagenome. RNAcentral describes it as "bacterial LSU rRNA". It matches the Rfam family "Bacterial large subunit ribosomal RNA", at positions 1552 to 2925 of the family's 2925-position model. The record is from RNAcentral.